This 355-nucleotide long non-coding RNA is filed under the name Populus trichocarpa (black cottonwood). RNAcentral describes it as "long non-coding RNA (PTRI_LNC004403)". The record is from RNAcentral. Lineage: Eukaryota; Viridiplantae; Streptophyta; Magnoliopsida; Malpighiales; Salicaceae.
AAAGGAGUAAAUUGGAGGUAAUUGGCAGAUUUGACGUUCAGUCGAUGUUUUGUGCAGAGCGUGAGUUCUAGAGAUCAAAAUGAAGUGAUUCCAGUGGCACUAAAAAGCUAACAUCCAUACCUUUCUGGAAAUGUAAUGCAAGAAAAAUAAAAAGAGAAAGAUCAUGGAAAUCACAUCCUGCAAAGUCAAAUCUCGCAUUCUGCCAGUGUUGACCUUUGGCCAUUCAAAAUUUAAUAUCUGGAGCUACAGAAGUCCAAUUGAUGCAAACUCAAUUUUAUUGGAUUCCUGACUUAAAGACCUAUCAACGCUCCCAAUUUCAGCCAAAACCGAUGUCAUAUGAGGGAGAUAUGAUUUU